UAGGUACUGCGGAAGGAUCAUUG
RNAcentral lists this ribosomal RNA (23 nucleotides) under Thesium frisea. RNAcentral's name for it is "partial 18S ribosomal RNA". The record is from RNAcentral. Lineage: Eukaryota; Viridiplantae; Streptophyta; Magnoliopsida; Santalales; Thesiaceae.